GCUUUCAUAGCUCAGUUGGUGGAGCAUCGCACUGGUAUUGCUGGGGUCAUGGGCUUGACUCGACCCAUGGAAGCC
This 75-nucleotide transfer RNA is filed under the name Acropora cervicornis. Its description in RNAcentral is "tRNA-Thr". The record is from RNAcentral. Lineage: Eukaryota; Metazoa; Cnidaria; Anthozoa; Scleractinia; Acroporidae.